UAGAAGGAUUUAAAUUUUAGUAGAAAAUUAGAUUUAUUUUAUGAAAGGGAAAAAAAGGAAAAUUAUAUCUAGUAUCGACAUCUCUCCUUUCUUUUCUGUGAUUCAGAGGAUGUUGAAGUUCCUGCUAGAUUGAAAGUUAGUUAGAAAAUGACCGCAUCGGGAGCAAGCCCGAUUGGUGGUCAUAUUUUCUAUAAAAGAUGGAAACCUCCGUCCAUCUUGGCUCUUAGUCAGGACUAUCAGCCUAAGCUUUUAGUCGUCCUAUUAGCCAUUGGACCUCCUUUGUUAGAAGAUACGAGCCCAUCCGAGUUUCCGUCUCUCCCAUCGUAGGAAGAAACAAGAAGAAACUCAGUGAGUAAGCAAACUUUGCGAAAGAAUAUUAUCGCCACUAGAGAGCGCCUGCAACCGUCCAACCAUAGAGAGCCUAUAAUGAGAGAGUGGCCGUAUAAGAAACGCUUUUCUAUUGGCAGUUUGUGACCACAUGACUGUAAGCCGCCAUUACUCUUCCAAACAACGUGUAAGGGAGAUUGGAACGAAAGCUUGAUGAAUAAAUUUUAUCGUCUCUACGUUCAUUGUCUGCAAACGAAUUAAAACUCAUCAAAGUAAUUCUUAGAAUAUGACUGGAUGUGCUGCUUUCGGCUGUACAAAUCGCAGCGGGAAAGGAUUUUUGAUGAAAGUUUACCGAAAGAUCUGCACGUCGUAAGCUUUGGGAAAUAAAAGUGAAAAGAAAAACUGGAAAGCAAACAACAGCAGCUGUUUAUGUGAGGAUAAACGAAGCCAUUGUGGAUAAAGAAUUCUGCAUUUUUUCGAGCACCAUAAAAAAUGUAAACCUAGGAAAGAAAGUUGUUAACAUUUAAAAUCACAUUUGAUGUAGUUUGAA
Centruroides sculpturatus (bark scorpion) is the source of this 877-nucleotide long non-coding RNA. RefSeq lists it as uncharacterized. The record is from RefSeq and is a predicted model, not a curated record. NCBI's taxonomy places the organism in Eukaryota, Metazoa, Arthropoda, Arachnida, Scorpiones, Buthidae. The transcript has 4 exons.